CACCGCGCCCAGCCUGCAUUAUUAUUUUUCUUGAGUCUGCAUCACCCUGUUGCAACAAUAUAGCAUAAACUAUUUAACUAGUUUCCUAUAGGUGGAUGUUUACCUUUUUUUCUUUUGUCAUUAUAAGCAAUUCAAACAGCAAGUCAAACAGAUUUGUUACAUAAAUUCAUUAAAGUGAAACUGUUGGAUCACAGAUUAUGUCCAAUUCUCAUUUUGGCCCAAACUGCCAAACUCCCUGGAAAUUUCCAAGAGGUAGUAUUAUAUAAUAGCAAGGGUUCUGCUGCCAGACUGCUGUGGUUUGGCUACUGGCUUAGCCACUUACUAGUUGUGUAACCUGGGGUAAAUUACUCUAAAAUGCUGUACCUCAGUUUCUUCAUCCAUAAAAUGGGGGAGAAUAGCAGCUGUUUCCUCACAGGGUUAUUAUGAGGUUUAAAUGAGAGAAUACAUGUGAAACAGUAUAACACCCGACACAAAGCAAUUUCUGGGUAACUCUGACACAAAACAGAAAAUCAAAAGUCAAAACAAGACAAGUAGAAUCCCUCAGACAAUGGGGAAUGACCCAGAUUGACCCAUCUUGGUUUGGGUCCCUGCUUCCAUGUAACACUAAUGGUUCCAAAUGACUCCACACUGGGGCUAUGCGUUUAGGCUGCACUGAUGAGGCUUGCGUAGGUACAGGGCAUGGUAUGCCUAAUGGUCUGGCCAUUUCACUAGGGCCAACAUGACUUCCCCGAGGGUCAGGCCCUUGUCUUUGCUUGCCUGGCAUAAUAGCUAAUACAGAGUUAAGUGUGGGGUUUCAACACUAGAGCCUCCAAAUGAGUGAUGUGCCCAGAGUGAGAUUUAAUGCUAACAAUGGGUGUAGGAGGCUUACUUGCAGAAACCAAUGCUGGAAGAAUUGACUUGCCUAAGAUCACACAAAAGGAAAAGAUGGAGGUGGCAUUAGUAUAGGAGAAAGCAUUCUCUUUCCACUGUACAACACUGUGUCCAGCUACCUCUCUGUAAGUGACUAAAGGAAUGGAGUUGGCCAUUUAAAGAAAUGAUGAUAAUGACAAUGAUGUUGACUAUGACAACAGCUGCCUAACUAACGUCUAUUGAACACAAUGAGCCAGGCACUGUUAAGUGCCUAAGCAUUUUAUGUGGAUUAUUUUACUUAAUUCUCCUGACCAUAUGGUUGAAUGUUUAUUACUGGUAGUUACUGGUUGAGUGUCAGGUGCUCUUCUAAGCACUUUACACAUUCCGACUCAUUUCGUUUUCACAACAAUUCCAUGAGGUAGGUACUAAUAUUACCUCUGUUUUAAAUGAGCUGAGGGAAAGAGAGAUUAGCUAACUUACAAAAACCUAGUGGGUAGAGGAUUCGCACUUUUAAUCCAGACAUUCUGGCUAUUCUUGUUCUUUUAGACUAAAGAUGCAGGAGGUUGAAUUAAUAAUACUCCUCAUUCUAUAGUACCCUCUCUUCAUCAGUCUCUUCGCGGCCUCUCUCUUGUUCUAUUUAUCCCUAUCUAUUGAUUAUCUAUCUAUCUAUCUAUCUACCUAUAUACCUAUCUAUCCAUCCAUCCAUUUUAUGUUUCUCCUCUUAUUCUCCUCCCCCUCCCCAGAAGUGACCACUCAGCUCUCUUCCCUGCCAUCAGGCCUGUUGCAGGCUGAAUUUUGUGCCCUCGGUGAAAUAUGUUGAAGUCCUAGCCCUCAGUACGUCAGAAUGUGAGCUUAUUGGGGGAAAUAGUGUCAUUGUAGAUGUAACUAAUUAAGAUGAGGUCAUACUAGAGAAGUAGAGUGGGCCCUUAAUCCAACAAGACUAAUGUCCACGUGAAGAGGGCCAUGUGAAGAUGCAGAAAUAUAGUGAGAACAUCAUGUGAAGAUGGAGACAGAGAUGUGAGUGAUGCAUCUACAAGACAAGGAAUACCAGCAAUUGCCAGCCACCAUCAGAAGCUGGCAAAGAGGCAUGAAACAGAUUCUCCUUUGGAGACCUCAGAAAAAACCAAUCCCGCCAAUCCCUUAGUCUUGGACUUCUAGCUUCCAGAACUGUGAGAGUAUACAUUUCUGUUGUUUGAAGCUGCCUGGUGGUACAUUUUUAUGGCAGCCUAGGAAGGGCUGCAAAAGGCUGGACAGCCAUUUCUGAGCCUGGGCUCCAUGGGGAGAUAUUUAGCAAAGGCUUUGACCAGCAUGCUGGUUUCAUCAUCCCUGGCCCAUGAGCCAGUCUUGCCAUUCCCAACUCUGAAUAGGACACCAUCUAAUUUCCCUGCUCCUGGACCUAGGCUGUCAAGGUAAUAGCAAAACUAGAUGAAUUGAUUAUGUUGCAAAGUCAUUGUCUCCAAUCAUAACUUGCCCCUUUCUGAGCCUGAGCAAUCUUUCAUCACAUUGAAUAAGUAUCAUAGAGAUUCUCAACUAGUGGGGAGAGAAGGGCUCAUGGUUUGAAAUAAAAACUUUGCCUCAUUGCUUUACUUCAUUUAAAAUUUAUUUCGAAUUUCUAAAAACAUCAGAGGAGGAUAGGUAAUUUUUCUUUUUUGCAGAGUAGUGUAAAGGUGGAUCCAUAUUCCCCUUUGCUUGAAAUUAGCACAAAUGUGCAUAGGUGGUGGAGUUGUGGUACAAAUGAAUAAAGCAGCCUGCCUUUCUAACCACCACUAUACAAGACACUCUUAUGGUUUACUAGAUUGGAAGCUCCUGAAUGACAAAAACCCUUCUAUGUUCCCUCUGUGCAUCUUCCCAACUCCCUAAUGCCAUUCAUCGCACUUUAAAGACAUUCAGUAAAAAGAGGCACAGACGGCCAGG
Molecule: long non-coding RNA, 2763 nt
Filed under: Homo sapiens (human)
Lineage: Eukaryota; Metazoa; Chordata; Mammalia; Primates; Hominidae
Description: HSALNT0043785
Source: RNAcentral